This 386-nucleotide unclassified non-coding RNA is filed under the name uncultured bacterium. RNAcentral describes it as "contains 16S-23S intergenic spacer region". The record is from RNAcentral.
UCCGAGUUGACCCCGGCAGUCUCCUAUGAGUCCCCGGCAUUACCCGCUGGCAACAUAGGACGAGGGUUGCGCUCGUUGCGGGACUUAACCUAACAUCUCACGACACGAGCUGACGACAGCCAUGCAGCACCUGUGCAUCUGUCUAAACCGAAGCUUAGAAAACCAUAUCUCUAUGGCGAUCAGAGCAUGUCAAGUCCAGGUAAGGUUCCUCGCGUAAUGUCGAAUUAAACCACAUGUUCCACCGCUUGUGCGGACCCCCGUCAAUUCCUUUGAGUUUUAAUCUUGCGAUCGUAGUCCCCAGGCGAAUCACUUAACGCGUUAGCUACGAUACUAAUCCAGCUUGGCUGAACUAACAUCUAGUGAUUAGCGUUUACAGCGUGGACUAC